RNAcentral lists this ribosomal RNA (421 nucleotides) under uncultured bacterium. RNAcentral's name for it is "bacterial SSU rRNA". It matches the Rfam family "Bacterial small subunit ribosomal RNA", at positions 354 to 774 of the family's 1533-position model. The record is from RNAcentral.
GUAAGGAAUAUUGCUCAAUGGGAGAAAUCCUGAAGCAGCAACGCCGCGUGGAGGAUGAAGGGUCUAUGACUUGUAAACUCCUGUAAAGAAGGAAAAAAUUCCCAUUUGAUGGGAGAUGACGGUACUUCUGGAGUAAGCCCCGGCUAACUACGUGCCAGCAGCCGCGGUAAUACGUAGGGGGCAAGCGUUGUCCGGAUUUACUGGGUGUAAAGGGUGCUCAGGCGGAUUUGUAAGUCAGAGGUGAAAUCUUACAGCUUAACUGUGAAACUGCCUUUGAUACUGCAAGCCUAGAGUAUGGAAGAGAGUGAUGGAAUAUCUGGUGUAGCAGUGAAAUGCGUAGAUAUCAGAUAGAACACCAAUGGCGAAGGCAGUCACUUGGUCCAUUACUGACGCUAAAGCACGAAAGCGUGGGUAGCAAACA